GACGAACGCUGGCGGCGUGCUUAACACAUGCAAGUCGGACGAAGAGCGAUGGAAGCUUGCUUCUAUCACUCUUAGUGGCGAACGGGUGAGUAACGCGUAAUCAACCUGCCCUUCAGAGGGGGACAACAGUUGGAAACGACUGCUAAUACCGCAUACGAUCUAAUCUCGGCAUCGAGGAUAGAUGAAAGGUGGCCUCUACAUGUAAGCUAUCACUGAAGGAGGGGAUUGCGUCUGAUUAGCUAGUUGGAGGGGUAACGGCCCACCAAGGCGAUGAUCAGUAGCCGGUCUGAGAGGAUGAACGGCCACAUUGGGACUGAGACACGGCCCAGACUCCUACGGGAGGCAGCAGUGGGGAAUCUUCCGCAAUGGACGAAAGUCUGACGGAGCAACGCCGCGUGAGUGAUGACGGCCUUCGGGUUGUAAAGCUCUGUUAAUCGGGACGAAAGGCCUUCUUGCGAAUAGUGAGAAGGAUUGACGGUACCGGAAUAGAAAGCCACGGCUAACUACGUG
This 510-nucleotide ribosomal RNA is filed under the name uncultured bacterium. RNAcentral's name for it is "partial 16S ribosomal RNA". It matches the Rfam family "Bacterial small subunit ribosomal RNA", at positions 28 to 507 of the family's 1533-position model. The record is from RNAcentral.